CUUGCAAUAAACGGAAACAAAUAAUUUCUAGACUAAGCUUUUAGAAAUUACACCUUUAAUAAAGAACACAUGAAAUAUAUGAAGUUGAGAAACAAACAACUUCUUUUUUUAAAAAAGAAUAAUCGUAUGAUUCGGAAUCAAUAUGAGAAGAAAUAGACUGUAGCAAAUCAAUAUUUAAGUCAUUGGCUAUCCUGAGUCAGAACUUUACGGAGUCCUUCUGGACAUAAGGCCAACAUUUUUCUCUGAUGAAUCUGGGGUGGAUUCAGACCCAUCUUUCGAUAUAGACCUUGCUAGAAGCUGCUAUUUCUAGGCAAUAAGGACCAUCUGUGAGGACCAGACAUUUGGUUGGCUAUUCCUGUUACAUUUUCCUUGCUUGUAGUGAGAUUUUGACUGUGACAAUUGAAGGGUCAUGCUGCAGAGUGAAUUUUAAAAUCUAAGGGCCCUGGGCUAGAGAUACAGAUCAGUAGUUAAGACUACUUGAUGCUUUCAGAGGACCUGGAUUCAGCUACCAGCACCCACACAGUGGCUCAGAGCUAGCAUGGUGGUGACAAACAAAUGGCAUGGAGACCUCAAGAACACCACACCAUCACUGAGCCUGCCACUGUAGCAACACCACACAUCUCUGCAUGGUGCUCAGUGCUGGCCCUUGGUGCUUGCCAUCCCCGUCCAAAGACACACAGCCAGCAACCAUGUCUGGAUGAUGAUGGAAGGAUGGUGAAGAGCUGACAAGUAAAUGCACACAGAAAUACAAACACACUCACAUCCAGAUGACUCGGAGUCAGAAAUAAGCCGUGUUGUUACAGCAUGGUGUAUUACUCUUGGUAGCAUGAAGACAACAAACAUCAAACAGACACUUUGAAUACCCAAAGAAGUCAAAAUGGAAAUGACUUUCACAUGGAAACUGUUCAAGCAUAGUUUCCAAAGAUUAAUGCACUUGAAAUUGAUUUAUUUAAAACCAUUUCUAACUCCUGGAUCCUGACAUGCUUCGUUCUUGGUCAUUAAGCGAUGAACCCUUUUGAUGUUCAACCACAUAAUCACAUUAGUAAAACCCAAAUGUACAGCAAAGAAUUGUAUUAAAAAGUGUAACUGUCAAAAGAAGAUGGAAAUUAAAAGCUUUUCUGCCCAAUCAUGGAAAAUUGUAUUCUCAGUAAUUUUCUGAGCUAAAAUGCCUGAAACCACAAUCUUUCUACCAGCUUUUAAAAGUGAAGCAAACAGCAUUAUAUUAGCACCAGCUGCUGAUA
Molecule: non-coding RNA, 1241 nt
Organism: Cricetulus griseus (Chinese hamster)
Lineage: Eukaryota; Metazoa; Chordata; Mammalia; Rodentia; Cricetidae
Source: RefSeq, a predicted model, not a curated record